UGGGGGAGGGGGGUGGUUGUUUCACCUUGAUGAUAAGCAGUACUGAAUGUAUCUUACCAUAUGAGACUGAAAUUAUGUUACAUAGUUUCACCUUGUUUUCUUUGCUUAGUUUCACCUUGUUUUCUUUGCUUUUUACUGAAUUAAUUGUAAUUUGCAAAAAUUACUUGUUCUGUUAGACUCUUGUUAAAUAAAAAUGUUACUUAAAAGAAUAUCUAACAGAAGAAAAUUUAAAUCAUG
Molecule: long non-coding RNA, 237 nt
Filed under: Theobroma cacao (cacao)
Lineage: Eukaryota; Viridiplantae; Streptophyta; Magnoliopsida; Malvales; Malvaceae
Description: long non-coding RNA (TCAC_LNC003514)
Source: RNAcentral